This 281-nucleotide ribosomal RNA is filed under the name uncultured bacterium. RNAcentral describes it as "partial 16S ribosomal RNA". It matches the Rfam family "Bacterial small subunit ribosomal RNA", at positions 44 to 334 of the family's 1533-position model. The record is from RNAcentral.
GUGCUUAACACAUGCAAGUCGUGGGAGCCUCGCAAGAGGCGACCGGCGAACGGGUGCGUAACACGUGAGCGACCUUCCGAUUUGUGGGGGAUAGCCGGCCCAACGGCCGGGUAAUACCGCAUACGCCAAACGGGCUGCAUGGCCUGUUUGGGAAACCUCCGGGGCAAAUCGAGGGGCUCGCGGCCUAUCAGCUAGUUGGCGGGGUAAUGGCCCACCAAGGCGAUGACGGGUAGCUGGCCUGAGAGGAUGGCCAGCCACAUUGGGACUGAGAAACGGCCCAG